RNAcentral lists this ribosomal RNA (472 nucleotides) under uncultured bacterium. RNAcentral's name for it is "bacterial SSU rRNA". It matches the Rfam family "Bacterial small subunit ribosomal RNA", at positions 31 to 507 of the family's 1533-position model. The record is from RNAcentral.
GAACGCUGGCGGCGUGCCUAACACAUGCAAGUCGAGCGGGGUUGAGGCGAGAGGUAACUCGAACUUCUACCUAGCGGCGGACGGGUGAGUAACGCGUGGGCAACCUGCCUCAAGGUUUGGGAUAACAGCCCGAAAGGGCUGCUAAUACCGGAUAUGCCUAUGGCCUCGCAUGGGGCUAUGAGCAAAGGGGAAACCCGCCUUGAGAUGGGCCCGCGUCCCAUCAGCUAGUUGGUGAGGUAACAGCUCACCAAGGCGACGACGGGUAGCCGGCCUGAGAGGGUGACCGGCCACACUGGGACUGAGACACGGCCCAGACUCCUACGGGGGGCAGCAGUGGGGGAUCUUGCACAAUGGGCGAAAGCCUGAUGCAGCGACGCCGCGUGAGCGAAGAAGGCCUUCGGGUUGUAAAGCUCUGUCUGGAGGGACGAACAAAAUGACGGUACCUCCGGAGGAAGCCACGGCUAACUACGUG